RNAcentral lists this ribosomal RNA (834 nucleotides) under Streptomyces albiaxialis. RNAcentral's name for it is "bacterial SSU rRNA". It matches the Rfam family "Bacterial small subunit ribosomal RNA", at positions 52 to 898 of the family's 1533-position model. Lineage: Bacteria; Bacillati; Actinomycetota; Actinomycetes; Kitasatosporales; Streptomycetaceae. The record is from RNAcentral.
CACAUGCAAGUCGAACGAUGAACCCGCUUCGGUGGGGGAUUAGUGGCGAACGGGUGAGUAACACGUGGGCAAUCUGCCCUGCACUCUGGGACAAGCCCUGGAAACGGGGUCUAAUACCGGAUACGACAUCCUCCCGCAUGGGAAGGGUGUGGAAAGCUCCGGCGGUGCAGGAUGAGCCCGCGGCCUAUCAGCUUGUUGGUGGGGUGAUGGCCUACCAAGGCGACGACGGGUAGCCGGCCUGAGAGGGCGACCGGCCACACUGGGACUGAGACACGGCCCAGACUCCUACGGGAGGCAGCAGUGGGGAAUAUUGCACAAUGGGCGAAAGCCUGAUGCAGCGACGCCGCGUGAGGGAUGACGGCCUUCGGGUUGUAAACCUCUUUCAGCAGGGAAGAAGCGCAAGUGACGGUACCUGCAGAAGAAGCACCGGCUAACUACGUGCCAGCAGCCGCGGUAAUACGUAGGGUGCGAGCGUUGUCCGGAAUUAUUGGGCGUAAAGAGCUCGUAGGCGGCCUGUCACGUCGGAUGUGAAAGCCCGGGGCUUAACCCCGGGUCUGCAUUCGAUACGGGCAGGCUAGAGUUCGGUAGGGGAGAUCGGAAUUCCUGGUGUAGCGGUGAAAUGCGCAGAUAUCAGGAGGAACACCGGUGGCGAAGGCGGAUCUCUGGGCCGAUACUGACGCUGAGGAGCGAAAGCAUGGGGAGCGAACAGGAUUAGAUACCCUGGUAGUCCAUGCCGUAAACGUUGGGAACUAGGUGUGGGCGACAUUCCACGUCGUCCGUGCCGCAGCUAACGCAUUAAGUUCCCCGCCUGGGGAGUACGGCCGCAAGGCUAAA